CCCAUUCUAAAAUGUCAAGCGUUUCGGUUUUGAGAAAAAAAGAAAGCUGAAGAAAGCAUGACUCAUGACAGGGCUGACAAACAACUAUCCGGAGGUAUGCUAGUGAGUCACGCUGUGGAGAUCUGCCUUUAUGUUGUGGAAAGGGCCCGGGAUGGAAGAAGCAUCAUGGGACCAGCCAGUAAAAUUCCACUACGCUCUGAAGCCCAUUUGGAGGUGAUUUCAAAACACUGGGCUUUUUCCGGCCCCGACCUGAUGGGAGGCUCUGGGUACCCUCAGGAUACCAAAUGUGUUGCGACCCCUCAAAUAAUACAAAGGCAUCGCGUCCAAGCAGGAUGCAUCUAACCAGACACGCAUUCAUACGUCAACAUGUAGAUUAUUAAAGCAAGGCAAGGUCAACGUUUCUGUAUUAAAGGGAAUAGGGCCUAGUGGAGUUUUCAUAUAUAAAAACAACACUGCAUAGUUACAGACUUUCACGAUAAAUUGUUUUCUCAGGAGACGAUAAAGGGACAGAUGCUCAUAACUCUUCCAUCAAGAGCUUUAAGAAAGUAAGAAAAGCCGGGGUGCCUGGGUGGCUCAGUGGGUUGAGCGUCCAACUUUGGCUCAGGCCAUGAUCUCACGGUUCAUGGGUUCGAGCCCCACGUCGGGCUCUGUGCUGACAGCUCGGAGCCCGGAGCCUGCUUUGGAUUCUGUGUCUCCUUCUCUCUCUGCUCUCCCCCCCUCCCCCACCUCACUCUGUCUCUCUCCCUCUCUCUCUCUCUCUCUCAAAAAUAAACAAACACUAAAAAAUUUAAAAAAAGAAAGA
RNAcentral lists this long non-coding RNA (802 nucleotides) under Felis catus (domestic cat). Its description in RNAcentral is "lncRNA (ENSFCAG00000041824.2)". The record is from RNAcentral. Lineage: Eukaryota; Metazoa; Chordata; Mammalia; Carnivora; Felidae.